Long non-coding RNA from Manis javanica (Malayan pangolin), 791 nucleotides. RefSeq lists it as uncharacterized. NCBI's taxonomy places the organism in Eukaryota, Metazoa, Chordata, Mammalia, Pholidota, Manidae. The record is from RefSeq and is a predicted model, not a curated record.
GGCAAAACAGGCCCUACAGGGUUCUGGCAGGGUGUGUCGUGGCUGACGCAGUACCGUACCCGGAAUCCCUCCACCACUGGCGCAGCCCUUAAAGUUUAGCAUCAGAUGACCUGCUCUCUGGGCUCCUAGGGAGAGCUCAGCAGGACUUUGAGAAGCUGGGACAACUGGUGGGUGUACAGUGUGUAGAUGUGCACAGGCCUUCUAUCUGCCAACCAUGACUCUCAGCUUCAACAUUAUGCCAGUACUAACACGGGAUGAGGAGCUGAUGCUACUGGUGCUACAGAAGGUCCUCAGAAACCUCUGACCAGAGGCUUUAGGCCAGAACACUAAACUAGGAGUCUGCAUCAAAACCAUCUGAGGAGCUUUUCCAAAGUGCACGUGCCUAGGUCCUGGACAGGUUUCUUUUGAAAAAGUGCCCUGGAUUCACACUGCGCAGAUACCGCAACCAAAGCAGCUGGUCCAGGUUCAUGCCUCAAAUAGCAGAAAGAAGGAAGUUCUUAAGAGUACAGAGUUCUGUCUCCUGCCAGCUCUGGGACCCUCUGAGUGGAAACAGUGCGGACUUUGGAGCCACAAAGCCCUCCAUUUGAACUAGUUCCCCUGUUUACUAGUGUCCUGGCCUUGCACAUAUGCUUAACCUCUCUGACCCUCAGUUUCUUUAUCUGUGGAAUACAAAUGAUGAACCUGCUUGUCUGAAGAGUAAAUGAGAUACAGCAAGGCCUAACACACACCCUCAACAAAUGGUAGUUCCUGACUCCUAAUCUGGAAAGGAUAAGCCUUCUGCUUGCAAAACU